AUGGCCUGGACCCUUGUCCUGCUCCCCCUCUUCUCUCUCUGCACAGGCCUCGUGGUCUCCUAUGAGCUGACCCAGCCACCCUCUGUGUCAGUGACCCCGGGAGAGACGGUCAAGAUCACGUGCUCUGGAGAUUUACUAGGGAAAAAAUAUGCAUCGUGGUUUCAGCAGAAGCCCGGCAAGGCCCCCGAGCUGAUCAUUUAUAAGUACAGCGAGCGGCCCUCAGGGGUCCCUGACCGGUUCUCAGGCUCCAACUCAGGGAACACGGUCACCCUGACCAUCAGUGGGGCCCGAGCCGAGGACGAGGCGGACUAUCACUGUCAGUCAUGGGACAGCAGUGGUAAUGCUCACAGUGACACAGGCAGAUGGGGAAGUGGGACAGAAACCCCAUCCCCGUCUGUGUCACACAGUCCGCCAGCCCCAGGAGGACUGUAG
Non-coding RNA from Myotis daubentonii (Daubenton's bat), 432 nucleotides. Lineage: Eukaryota; Metazoa; Chordata; Mammalia; Chiroptera; Vespertilionidae. The record is from the annotation of a RefSeq genome assembly.